Long non-coding RNA from Ochlerotatus camptorhynchus, 1832 nucleotides. RefSeq lists it as uncharacterized. The record is from RefSeq and is a predicted model, not a curated record. NCBI's taxonomy places the organism in Eukaryota, Metazoa, Arthropoda, Insecta, Diptera, Culicidae. The transcript is spliced from 2 exons.
CUAUGCCAAUUGAAAUGUCUAACUACUACAGAAAAUGAUCAUUGAACAAAUCAAUGCUUUAACAAAAUAUUUCAUACAAAAGGAUUGAGCGAAAAUUCCAUACCCAAAAUAGCUGAAAUUGACCCACGCAUUAUGUAUAUAUAUAAUUAUAUUUUCCUCAUGACUCUGGGGAGAGUUUGAACCCCCGUAUGGUAAAGUUUAUGUGUUUUCCCCGGUUCUCUCGUCAGAUUCCCGGGAUUUUCCCAGUUACUUUUAAAAUUCCCGGUUCGCUGACCAAUCCUCCGCAAUCCGAUAAGUUGCUUCCAUCUGCACCGGACCCGCAUCCAGUCCUUUCACGAAAUUGGCAAUGUUACCCAUGUACAUCCAUUGGCCAAGCUAAGCUUGAUGACAAAGCGCACCGAGGAUAGGUGAUUGUACAACUGGUGAAUUAUUUCGAACAUCUCGGAUCCCUUUUCGUCCUGCUGUAUUUUAAGAACGUGAACUUUUCUCCGGAAGGUUCUAGGAUUUAUUUUUAGGAGCAUCGAAGUUGCAUGAUUUCUUCGACUCCAACUGGAGAUUUUCGCUUAAAUGGUGUUACAAGGUUGAAAACCCCUGUCAAUGGUCGACCACCACCACGAAGGAGCCUUGUUGAAACACAAAUUGAGGAUCUAGGAAAAUUGCACCUUAACAGUGUCAGUUCAGCGAAACAUUGUCCGGUCGCUCUUCGUAGUCUACCGUGGAGCAAUCCACAUCAUUGCAUACAGCUCACCGGCCUGAACUCACUACUUGUACGAAGAAAUCUAUCGCGUGGCAUUAGGGAGCGUUUAUUUUUGUAAUCGUUCGGGGCAUGUUUUCCUGUGUGAUUAUUGGGACUAAUUAUGUAACAUGUCAAAAAUUGAGCGUUGACAUUUAGAGGUGGCGCGAGGGCUCUAAGUCCAAAAUGUCGAACGAUGAGCUUUUUCAAAUAAAACAUAUGCUUUUAUAAGUAAGCACGUGAUUUUGUGUCCAAUUUUGUCCAUUUUACGAUAUCUUCUUCACUCGUUCUUGUGAUAUUGCCGUUUUGCCGGCUCUCAACUUAGUGGUUGGUUGGUUUGUUGUUUGUCUUUAUUAAGGAGAUUUUCAGUCAGACGUUGGUUCAUCUCCGCUCAACUUAGUGUCCUAGAUGCACUUUCACAGUUAUUAAUUUAGAGCUUUCUAUUCCAAACAAUGCAUGAAUUUGUAUAUUGUGUGAGACAAGCACAAUGAUAUUCUAUGCCCAGGGAAGUCGAGAAAAUAACCAGCCCGAAAGAUUUCCUCGACCGGACCGGAAAUCGAACCCACCUUCGGCUUCGUAAAAACGUGCCUUUUUACCGACUAGGCUAUCUGAGGCCCAUGAAAAACAUGGAGACCUAAUAGAAGAUCUAUGCUUUGCAUUGCGAGACUUGGAUCUUCUAGAGAUAUGAUUGAAUCUGAUGCAGAAGAUUACAUUUGCUUACCAGCGACAACGGAAGGAUUUCGAUGCAUGUCACUUAAAACAUGUAUGCCAAAAACCAUGAAUACGCAUGAACAUUUCAAAUAAAUAAAACUCUUUAAUUGAUACCAAACUUUAAGCCCACUUUAUACAAUUAGUACAUUCAGUAUAAUAAUACUUAUUCCAUAAUAGAACACCUACAUAGCUUCCUACAAUCCUACACUUCGUUCGGUAACGGUAUCUUGCCUCAUAAUGUUCCUGCAAAUACACUGAUAUUUUAACGACGGCGAUAACACGGGAGGAGAAAACUAUUGAACACAAUCAACAUGUCCGUGUUGUAGAAGUCCGGCUUGGCUCCCGCGUGGAGCUCAAUAGUUAAAGAUCUUCGCCUCGAAUCCUACUA